This is a long non-coding RNA of Aedes albopictus (Asian tiger mosquito), 4313 nucleotides long. RefSeq lists it as uncharacterized. The record is from RefSeq and is a predicted model, not a curated record. The transcript has 2 exons. Lineage: Eukaryota; Metazoa; Arthropoda; Insecta; Diptera; Culicidae.
AAGCCUUUGAAGGGUUUUAUGGAAAAUCAUAGGCUGUCAUAGAUAUUUAAGGUCAAAAAAUUGUUUUCGCAUAAACUUUAAUUCGGCAAAUGCGCAUACGGGAAGGAUACUAUAAGAAUAGUAUUGGUAUACAAGAAACCCAUGUUUUGACGCAGAACAAUAUGAAUAAUCGUGGCUCGAAAGGACGAUUGCUGACGACAUUCGUUGGAUGUGUUUUAAUGGCGUGAUAUAUCUAACGAAAUUGUUUAAUAAAACUGAAUCAACAGUGAAGUUUUUUUUGUGAUCAUAGAAAUACAUCUAUAGUUUCAUAAUCUGGUUUUCAGUGUUUUAUCCAUGAAAACUUUCUUAUUUUAGGUUUAUAAGGUUUCGCUAUGAAUUAUGUUAGGCCACUUGAAUCAGGGAAUUGUAGAUCCAAAACAUGAUCUCAGGAAAUAUUUUUUCAUAAAAAAGGACUAUGAAUAAAAUAAUGCUUUGAAUAUAGCGCGAAUGGACAAAAAGACUAUAAGUUUAUUAUGGUCUUGUGAACCAUAUUUGUCAAGAGUUUAAUGUCGUAACUUGUUUCGAGCAUAUCUUUGAUGAUGAUCUUUGAAAAUAAUUUUGUUUCUUGUGGAAAUACCAGCCCGUAAACUGUGAAAUUCGCAAGUGUUGAGGAUCAUUGGUUUGUGCAGAAUAAAAUGGCAUGAAUUUCACAAUCAGAUCAAUAUUUUCUUUUAAAGAAGUAAAAACUGCAUUUUUCAUAUUUUUCCUACAAAAUACAAUAGAUAAGCUUCAUUUGCUUCAUACAACAUUGUUUUUCUAGGUCAAACCGUUUUUGAUCUGCGACUGAUUCAAAGUGUACCGAUUCUAAAGUGUGCAGGCUUUAUAUUGUGUUAUUGACCAACAGUUCUAGAAAAUAUUGUGGAUUUGGCAUCUAGUGGAUUGGUUUCCACUCCAUUUGGUGCUAAGAGAACUCAAAUCGGUUCUCGGCUGAGAUAUUUAUUAUGAUACACUUGGUCAAAAAUCUCUCAUAAAGUUAACCUGUAUUACUCCCAAGUACUCUUUGAAAGAUAUCUCGGUAACCAAAUGUCCAAUCCUAAUAAAAUUGUAUGGGGUUCUGCUAGGAUAUUUUAGCUUUCAUUUGGUGCAAGGAGAACCGAAAUCGGUUGACAGACGGCUGAUAUAAUUAUCAUGAUACACUUAGUAAAAAAUCUCAAAAAGUUUAGUUGUAUAAAUCCUAAGUACUCUUCGAAAGAUAUCUCUGUAACUAAAAGUCCAAUCGAAAUAAAAUUUCAGAGCGUUUUACUGGGAUGUUGUAGCUUUCAUUUGGUGUUAAGAGAACCCAAAUCGGUUGACAAACGGCUGAGAUAUUCAUCAAUAUGCUUUAUGUCAAAAAUCUCUCAAAAAGCUAACCUAUAUUACUUAAAAAAGCUCUUCGGAAGAUAUCUCGGUAAACAAAUGUCUGAAAAUUUAAUAGGGUUAUACUAGGAUGUUGUAGCUUUCACAAAUGGAUAAAUACGAUUAAUGGUAAAAAAAAAUCGAGUUUUGCAACGAGAUGCAUAAUUUUUUUUGUCAUUACGAAUGAGGUUUGAAUAGUAUUUUUUCUAGGUUACAUACUUCUGUAGAGUGAGGUACGACCAAGUAUCAUGUUCAAUCAACCUUAUUUAAUAUGUAGUUCAUCCUACUAUUGAUUACACAUACAAAAAUGAAACAAAAAUUUAUGUUGGCAAAAGUUCCGGAAAGUGAUAUUAUGAUUUCGGUUGGAAAUCAAAAAACUUUUUUUAAGAAAAAUAUGUUUGCUAAUUUUGGGUUGUUUACAACAUACGUCGGAAGUGACGUAUAUGAUAGUACAUCAUUGAAUGCACACAGCGCACUGCACCCGGUACUGGAAAAAAGUGUCGCUAGUCGAAAAGUGUCGCUAGUCAAAACGUCGCUAUUCGGUUUGGUGCUGGCCCCAUAAUACUUUUCAGCACAAGUGUCGAAAAGUAGUACUUUCGGCACUUUUGUUUUAAUGAAAAAAGUAGGCCGUUUAAGCGCUCUUUUGCUCAGUGAGAAGUUGAUGUUUGCGCAACGUAAUGACAAAAAAUUUUCUUUCCCUCUUCCUUCAUUCUUCAUUAACUCCUCGAGAGAAACGUAUCUAAAGGGGACCCCACACGAGCAUCAAUACUUCAUCAAUAUUGGUACUUUUUGUCGGAGUUUUCACACGAGCAUCAAUACUUCAUCAAUAUCGGUACUUUUUGUCGGAAUUUUUCGAGCUGUGCAGUUUGCUCUGUUUGCGUUUUCGUUUACUACGUAUAGUAGGUAUUCUUUGGGCAAGCCGAGCACAUUAGUGUUCGGUUGUGCGUCUUCGCGUCGUUACGCGCGGCAGCACGAGUGAAGUCGCCAAUCGGAUCAGAGACAGAGCACGCUCGGCUUCACCGUUUGCAUUUUCGCCGCUCAGUAUUUAUUCUUUGACAUGCAAAGCGCGGGCGGUGGUUGUUGACGGUUGUGCGUCGUCAUACACGGCGCGCGACAGAACCAUGACUAUAGCAGAAGUUUUCACGAGUGCGGAAAUGCAAAUAAAAUUGCGUGAUUGCAUGGAAUCUACCCGAUGUCCUCAGAGCACUUAUUCAUCGUAGUUUGCAGAAAUAAUGGACUGAAGACACCAAAGUGAUUUGUUGCGAUCGCGUACUUUUAUCCAGCGUACUUUUGUAAGUACGCAGUCCAGUGGCGAACUAAAUGUGCUAUAUAAAUCCACAAAUGGUGUGUAAGUAGAACGGAAAUGUGCAAAAAAAAAAAAAAUCAAAAAAUGCGUUUGAUGAAAAAUUGAAACUGUUGCCAAAUGGCAAUGUGUGUUAUCGCAACCGGUUCAAUUGGUAGAUAUUCCAUAUUAAAUAUUACAAAUUUGGUCCACCCAGUCCACCAAUUUCAAAAGUUUAACCCUUUAUAAGGCCGAGAAAACUAGAAGAGUUGUCAACGCAUACUAUUAUGGAAAUGAUUAUAUACAUGAUUACAUGUACAAAACAAUUUUUGUUUGAAAGAAACUUUCAAAAAUCUAGGUGGCAAAAUAGUUGCCACUGCCCGCUAAGGCGAAACUGGAAGCAUUUCCUCACUUUUGGGUUUUUGAUUUGUUUAUUUAAUAACGAAGCAAUAUUUUCAAAAUCGGUUUUCGUACACAUGUAGAGUAUGGAUCAAGGUAUCUUCUGAUUUUUUUUGUGGUGGAAAAUAUUUUUCGUUUUUGCAGAAACCAUUUUUAAACAAAAUUUCACAAACAAAAUGGUUUCUGCAAAAAUGGAAAAUAUUCUCCACCACAACAAAAUUCAGAAGAUACCUUGAUCCAUACUCUACAUGUGUACGAAAACCGAUUUUGAAAAUAUUGCUUCGUUCUUGUACCGACUUUUCUAACCCUCUAAGCAGAAUACCCUCUUCGAAUGAGUGUAAUCAGUUUCGUACCUUUAGGGCGGAAUUAAAAGGUACGAAACUGAUUACACUCAUUCGAAAAUUGCUUCAUUAUUUAAUGAAAAAUCAAAAACCAAAAAAAAAAUGAGGAAAUGCUUCCAGUUUCGCCUUAAGCCCAAAACGCUGGUGGCAAUAUAGUUGUCACUGCCCGUUUAGACCACCAACGCUGGUGGCAAUAUUCUUGCCACUGCCCGUUUAGGGUACUUUUCUUCUUUUGGCUUCGACAAAAAGCCGGAAAAGAGAAUUUAGAGUGGAUUAGGUCUUAACCCAUAAUAUAAACUGCGUAGUUCAGCUCAUGUCAACCCAUAAUUUGAUUAUUUCUUAAAAUAUUUACAAUAAUCUAUAAUCUAUAUAUGUUAUUGUAUGUCUAUAAUGUUACAAUCAGUUUGAGCUAAUUUUCUUCACGCGGUCAAAUUUAGCCAUUUUUGAGACUACAAAUGGCUCCCAUAUUGUUUUAAAGCUUUUUUAGUACCAAAAAAAUACCAGGCGUUGUUAGUAAUCCCAAUUUUACGUAAACCAAAACAAAGUUCGAAAUAAAUUGUUAUAAAACAGAAAAAAAUACAAACAGUAGGUGACAAUAUAGUUGGCAUUGCCUUAUAAAGGGUUAAUGAAUAAUGUAUCCGAUUGAAAUAAGUGAACAUUUCGCAAAAUUUGUUUAAUUUCCAAUUAAUUAUUCAUGGCCUCACUGAUUUUUACCCUCACUUAUCCGAUUGGUCGGAGUUCUAUUCGAGUUCCAUUUGUUGACGAUUGGAAAGGUAUGACGCGACCCAUUUAAGAAGACCUGGACCAAACCCUAUUUUUUUCUAGUUUAAAAAUAAUCAACAUUGGUACGUCAAUUCGACCAAAAGCUUUACUGAAACCUGUAUAGAGAACUUCCACGUGAUUGCCAUUGUCCAUGG